UGUGUUUGUAUGCGUGAGUGCGUGCACACACCUGUUUGUGUGUAUGUGUGUGUAUCAUUGUGUGUGUGCGUGCGUGUGCAUUCUUGUCAGCGUAUGCUUGCGUGUGUGAUUGUAUGUGUUGGUGUGGUACAGCUGUGGCCCCUCUAUCCAGCUUUAGCUCCGUUGGGAUCGGGGGGUUAAGACAACAGAGCAACAGAGGCUCCCCCUCUCCCCUCCUCUCCCGUACCCCUGGUCCCUAGCUUCUUUAAAUGGGCCAGUUUGACCCAGCCCAGACACACGUGAAGGUGCACGGUGCUACUGUGAUUAAUUACAGGGUUACAGCCAUGCUGACAUCAUCAUAGUGCACCGGGCUUGGGCUCUCAACCCACUGAAGGGCAGACACAUAUAGACAAACACACACACCUUGCUUCUUAUGUUAUGAAAGGGGAGGUCAGCUGUGAAUAUAACCACCAAACAAGUCCGGGGUUGAUUUUCAAUUCCACUUCAAGGUCUAUAGGUUAUCAUUCCUAACUCGUAGGUGCAGGUGAAGUGCUCAAGAACAAUUCGACCACAUCAGACUAAAAGUUUGCUGAAUUGAAUCUAAGCUCCAGUGGCCAGACAUUGGUGGCCAUGGCCUUCUAUCCCCCUGUUUCCUCUUUCCUCUCGCCUCCUUUUGAAACAGGUCCAAGCUAAUCGAGGAGAGUCGGCGAGGAGAGUGAACGUGGAUGGAGAUGCGCUUGCUUGAAAUGAGACCUUCCUCCUCCACUCGUGCGUCGUUAGGAUACACAUGGGUAUCCUCGAUGAAAGGUGGCUAUCGAGGAGGUCUUCCGUUUGCCUAUUUAAAUGAAUUGACACACUCCUCAACCACUCUACCAUUUAUCGGUUUCCGGGUCACGGAGAAGAGAGGACGAAGGACGGUGUUUUGCCCGAGCGAGAAUCUCCCGAUGUCUAACACUGGGUGUAAUUACAUGAAAUGUAUGUCAUGUACAUGUGCCUGUGUGCUCAGUGGUCAAUAAACAAAAGAAGCGUGUA
This 1011-nucleotide long non-coding RNA is filed under the name Oncorhynchus kisutch (coho salmon). RNAcentral describes it as "lncRNA (ENSOKIG00005043049.1)". The record is from RNAcentral. Lineage: Eukaryota; Metazoa; Chordata; Actinopteri; Salmoniformes; Salmonidae.